AUACAUACCAUUUGAAUGUAUUGAAUAAUUUUAAUGUUGUUUUCAAGUCAAUAAAGUAUCUAAAUUGAUUUUCAAUUAUUAAAAAGUUUUUCGGUACAGAAUUUUAUACUUUAAUUCCAGUACCAUACCAAUUUCGGUUAAUCCGAGUUGGGCUCGGUCUCAUUUGAUACGGAUAAACUGGUCUGACUGCAUCUAAAAUGUAGAAGUUAAUGUAGAUCUCUGCUAUACUAUCACAUUGAUUUUUUUCAGGAUACGGAUCAGGAGGGUAAACCGACUGUAUCGGCUCAUCCCGCCAGAUUUUCCCCAGAAGACAAAUAUAGCAAACACAGACUCAUUAUAAAGCGAAGAUUUCAUUUGCUUCCCAUACAGAAGGAAAAGCCAACAUAUUAAUAUUUUGUAUUGUUUUUUUCUUUUCUUUUAAAGACUUGGUGUCGAAUUGUAAAACUGAAUGUUGUAACAUAAAGAUAUAUUAAAAUUUCAAAUAAAACUUAUUAAAAUGAA
Centruroides sculpturatus (bark scorpion) is the source of this 501-nucleotide long non-coding RNA. RefSeq lists it as uncharacterized. Lineage: Eukaryota; Metazoa; Arthropoda; Arachnida; Scorpiones; Buthidae. The record is from RefSeq and is a predicted model, not a curated record. The transcript has 2 exons.